AAUAAACGCUGGCGGCGUGCUUAACACAUGCAAGUCGAACGUGAAAGUCCUUCGGGAUGAGUAAAGUGGCGGACGGGUGAGUAACGCGUGAGAAUCUACCUUUUAGUGAAGGAUACCGUUGAGAAAUUAACGUUAAUACUGCAUAAGCCCCACGGGGGAAAGAUGGCCUCUUUGCUGUCGCUAAAAGAUGAGCUUGCGUACUAUUAGCUAGUUGGUGGGGUAAAGGCUCACCAAGGCGAUGAUGGUUAACCGGCCUGAGAGGGUGUACGGUCACAUUGGAACUGAGAAACGGUCCAGACUCCUACGGGAGGCAGCAGUGAGGAAUAUUGCGCAAUGGACGAAAGUCUGACGCAGCGACGCCGCGUGGAGGAUGAAGGUCUUCGGAUUGUAAACUUCUGUUAGACGGGAAAAAAGAGCUCUUGAAAAUAUCAAGAGAAGAUGAUGGUACCGUUAAAGAAAGCACCGGCUAAACUCGUGCCAGCAGCCGCGGUAAUACGAGUGGUGCUAGCGUUAUUCGGAUUUACUGGGCGUAAAGGGUAUGUAGGCGGUUUUUUAAGUCAGUUAUUAAAUCCCUUGGCUUAACCAAGGAAGCGUAAUUGAAACUGGAAGACUAGAGGAUGGAAGAGAGAAGUGGAAUUCUCGGAGUAGCGGUAAAAUGCGUAGAUCUCGAGAGGAACACCGAUGGCGAAGGCAGCUUCUUGGUCCAUAUCUGACGCUGAAAUACGGAAGCGUGGGGAGCAAACAGGAUUAGAUACCCUGGUAGUCCACGCUGUAAACGAUGAUCACUAGAUGUUGUGUCUGCUUGCAGAUGCAGUAUCGUAGCUAACGCGUUAAGUGAUCCGCCUGGGAAGUACGGUCGCAAGACUAAAACUUAAAGGAAUUGACGGGGGUCCGCACAAGCGGUGGAACAUGUGGUUUAAUUCGAUACUACGCGAGGAACCUUACCUAGGCUUGACAUGCUUUUGACUGGUGUGGAAACACAUCGUUCCUAGUUUACUAGGACAAUUGCACAGGUGCUGCAUGGCUGUCGUCAGCUCGUGUCGUGAGAUGUUUGGUUAAGUCCUCUAACGAGCGCAACUCCUGCUGCUAGUUGCUAUUCUUCGGAAGCACUCUAGUGGGACUGCCUGGGAAACCAGGAGGAAGGUGGGAAUGACGUCAAGUCAUCAUGGUCCUUAUGUCUAGGGCUACACACGUGUUACAAUGGCUGGUACAAAGGGGCGCGAACUCGCAAGAGUAAGCAAAUCCCAUCAAAACCAGUCUAAGUUCGGAUUGGGGUCUGCAACUCGACCCCAUGAAGUUGAAAUCGCUAGUAAUCGCGCAUCAGAUCGGCGCGGUGAAUUCGUUCUCGGACCUUGUACACACCGCCCGUCAAACCACGAGAGUUUUUUGUACCCGAAAAUAUCUUAGCUAACCUUACGGAGGCGGAUAUCUACGGUAUGGGAGAUGAUUGGGGUU
This 1455-nucleotide ribosomal RNA is filed under the name uncultured bacterium. RNAcentral's name for it is "bacterial SSU rRNA". It matches the Rfam family "Bacterial small subunit ribosomal RNA". The record is from RNAcentral.